GUGCCAGCAGCCGCGGUAAUACGUAGGGGGCAAGCGUUGUCCGGAAUUAUUGGGCGUAAAGCGCGCGCAGGCGGCUUCUUAAGUCAGGUGUGAAAGCCCACGGCUCAACCGUGGAGGGCCAUCUGAAACUGGGGAGCUUGAGUGCAGGAGAGGAGAGCGGAAUUCCACGUGUAGCGGUGAAAUGCGUAGAGAUGUGGAGGAACACCCGUGGCGAAGGCGGCUCUCUGGCCUGUAACUGACGCUGAGGCGCGAAAGCGUGGGGAGCAAACAGGAUUAGAUACCCCAGUAGUCC
This 292-nucleotide ribosomal RNA is filed under the name uncultured bacterium. Its description in RNAcentral is "partial 16S ribosomal RNA". It matches the Rfam family "Bacterial small subunit ribosomal RNA", at positions 505 to 796 of the family's 1533-position model. The record is from RNAcentral.